Molecule: long non-coding RNA, 400 nt
Organism: Anguilla anguilla (European eel)
Lineage: Eukaryota; Metazoa; Chordata; Actinopteri; Anguilliformes; Anguillidae
Exons: 4
Source: RefSeq, a predicted model, not a curated record
CACUGGUGUAGUGCUUGGUUGGACACUGCUGCCAGUAGGACCUGAAGUUGAAUAACACUGCAUUAGAUUGCACUUAUGACACAUGUUUUGAAGGACAGCAGCAGUCACUUUGAGGACGACUGAUUAUCAGCCAUGCCCUCUAGUCUCCCUCUAAGUGUGAUUGGCAGGUUGUUGUCUGCUACACCUUGCAGGCAGCAAGGUGGGUGUUGAUAAUGCCAGCGGAGAGAGGAUGUCAGGAAGUGAAAAUGAUGUUGAGCUGACUGUUGUUACUGGUCUCCGGCUCAAAAACACAGAAGACUGCAAGGGUCGCAGGGGGGCCUGAAGUCUAGCCCAGCAUGCAUUGGGCAAGAGGGAGGAUUACACCCUGGACAGGCCACCAAUCUGUUGCAGAGCACACAUG